UACGUAGGGUGCAAGCGUUAAUCGGAAUUACUGGGCGUAAAGCGUGCGCAGGCGGUGAGCUGUGUCCGAUGUGAAAGCCCCGGGCUUAACCUGGGAAUGGCAUUGGAAACUGGCUCGCUGGAGUGUGGCAGAGGGGGGUGGAAUUCCGCGUGUAGCAGUGAAAUGCGCAGAUAUCAGGAAGAACACCCGUGGCGAAGGCGGCUCUCUGGGACGGUACUGACGCUGAGACGCGAAAGCGUGGGGAGCGAACAGG
This 253-nucleotide ribosomal RNA is filed under the name uncultured bacterium. RNAcentral's name for it is "partial 16S ribosomal RNA". It matches the Rfam family "Bacterial small subunit ribosomal RNA", at positions 524 to 776 of the family's 1533-position model. The record is from RNAcentral.